Long non-coding RNA from Harpia harpyja (harpy eagle), 909 nucleotides. RefSeq lists it as uncharacterized. The record is from RefSeq and is a predicted model, not a curated record. Lineage: Eukaryota; Metazoa; Chordata; Aves; Accipitriformes; Accipitridae. The transcript has 3 exons.
GUGAGGGGGGGCCGUGAGGCGCUGCCGCCUCAGGGGAGCAGAGCGCGGGCGGGAGCGAGCCUCGAACCGGCAGCGGCGCUGCCUGCGCUGCGGGUGCCUUCUGUGACGCCGCACGCGUGACUAAUAUUUAAGGAGGGAGAGAAAAUUCUCGGCUUGUAACGCCGGCCCUGCCUCCGGGAGCCCUCCCGCGCCGAGGCGCUGGGGGAACCCGAAGCUCCUUCAUCAUUCCCCGCGGUAGCGAGGCCGAGGUGGCCUCCGAGAAGCUGGGCGGAUGAAGCCUCACCGGCUCCGCGUUGGCCUCUCCCGCCGUGCUUCCUGCUGCCUUUAAUGACGUUUGUACAGGUUUAGCUGUCUGUGAGAUUUCUGCCCCUCUCAGUUGGAAUAACCCGCCCAGAAGUCACCGCAGACAGCCGGGUAGGCCGGGCAGUCUCAUCCGACUCGCUUUCUUGAGACUGGAAACAGGAAUAGCAUCUUGCGGCAGCUCUUUAAAAAACACUUUUUCUUUUCCAAAGGACAAAGAGAUCCGGUACCUAGCACGUCUUCAGCUGGCACAAGGCAAGAACAAAAAUCCUAGAGCGUUCAGUUACAAGUAAACCAAAGCUGGCAGCACAACCCUGCCCAACCAGGAAGGUGAGAUCCAGUAAGCACAACUGCAAGAGCAGAGAGCACACGGACAAGUGAGCUGGUCCAGGUAUGAAGCAACAUAGAUUGGAAUCGACAUACUUCAUGAAAGUCAUAUUUAACAGAGAGAGUCUCGUUUCUACAGCAGCAAGGAUGUCUGCAUGACGAGCUAAUGAAUGGUUUCUUCUUUCUGACUCCCGUCUAGAAGACAGACCAUUAAGUAACACUGAUUUAACAGUGAGUCAACAAAAUGAAACUGUAACAAUCAGCUCUGAGGUUUGAAAAUGU